AACGGCGUCGAGCGGCGGACGGGUGAGUAAUGCCUGGGAAAUUGCCCUGAUGUGGGGGAUAACCAUUGGAAACGAUGGCUAAUACCGCAUAAUAGCUUCGGCUCAAAGAGGGGGACCUUCGGGCCUCUCGCGUCAGGAUAUGCCCAGGUGGGAUUAGCUAGUUGGUGAGGUAAUGGCUCACCAAGGCGACGAUCCCUAGCUGGUCUGAGAGGAUGAUCAGCCACACUGGAACUGAGACACGGUCCAGACUCCUACGGGAGGCAGCAGUGGGGAAUAUUGCACAAUGGGCGCAAGCCUGAUGCAGCCAUGCCGCGUGUAUGAAGAAGGCCUUCGGGUUGUAAAGUACUUUCAGCAGUGAGGAAGGUGGUAGUGUUAAUAGCACUAUCAUUUGACGUUAGCUGCAGAAGAAGCACCGGCUAACUCCGUGCCAGCAGCCGCGGUAAUACGGAGGGUGCGAGCGUUAAUCGGAAUUACUGGGCGUAAAGCGCAUGCAGGUGGUUUGUUAAGUCAGAUGUGAAAGCCCGGGGCUCAACCUCGGAAUAGCAUUUGAAACUGGCAGACUAGAGUACUGUAGAGGGGGGUAGAAUUUCAGGUGUAGCGGUGAAAUGCGUAGAGAUCUGAAGGAAUACCGGUGGCGAAGGCGGCCCCCUGGACAGAUACUGACACUCAGAUGCGAAAGCGUGGGGAGCAAACAGGAUUAGAUACCCUGGUAGUCCACGCCGUAAACGAUGUCUACUUGGAGGUUGUGGCCUUGAGCCGUGGCUUUCGGAGCUAACGCGUUAAGUAGACCGCCUGGGGAGUACGGUCGCAAGAUUAAAACUCAAAUGAAUUGACGGGGGCCCGCACAAGCGGUGGAGCAUGUGGUUUAAUUCGAUGCAACGCGAAGAACCUUACCUACUCUUGACAUCCUCAGAAGAGACUGGAGACAGUCUUGUGCCUUCGGGAACUGAGAGACAGGUGCUGCAUGGCUGUCGUCAGCUCGUGUUGUGAAAUGUUGGGUUAAGUCCCGCAACGAGCGCAACCCUUAUCCUUGUUUGCCAGCGAGUAAUGUCGGGAACUCCAGGGAGACUGCCGGUGAUAAACCGGAGGAAGGUGGGGACGACGUCAAGUCAUCAUGGCCCUUACGAGUAGGGCUACACACGUGCUACAAUGGCGCAUACAGAGGGCGGCCAACUUGCGAAAGUGAGCGAAUCCCAAAAAGUGCGUCGUAGUCCGGAUUGGAGUCUGCAACUCGACUCCAUGAAGUCGGAAUCGCUAGUAAUCGUAGAUCAGAAUGCUACGGUGAAUACGUUCCCGGGCCUUGUACACACCGCCCGUCACACCAUGGGAG
RNAcentral lists this ribosomal RNA (1330 nucleotides) under Vibrio sp. B183. RNAcentral describes it as "bacterial SSU rRNA". It matches the Rfam family "Bacterial small subunit ribosomal RNA", at positions 84 to 1410 of the family's 1533-position model. The record is from RNAcentral. Lineage: Bacteria; Pseudomonadati; Pseudomonadota; Gammaproteobacteria; Vibrionales; Vibrionaceae.